Molecule: ribosomal RNA, 424 nt
Filed under: uncultured prokaryote
Description: bacterial SSU rRNA
Rfam family: Bacterial small subunit ribosomal RNA
Source: RNAcentral
UGAGGAAUAUUGGACAAUGGGCGAAAGCCUGAUCCAGCCAUGCCGCGUGAGUGAUGACGGCCUUAGGGUUGUAAAGCUCUUUCGCUGGUGAAGAUAAUGACGGUAACCAGUAAAGAAGCCCCGGCUAACUUCGUGCCAGCAGCCGCGGUAAUACGAAGGGGGCUAGCGUUGUUCGGAAUCACUGGGCGUAAAGCGCGCGUAGGCGGACUGCCAAGCCAGAGGUGAAAGCCCGGGGCUCAACCCCGGAACUGCCUUUGGAACUGGUAGUCUGGAGUAUCGGAGGGGAUAGCGGAAUUCCUAGUGUAGAGGUGAAAUUCGUAGAUACUAGGAGGAACACCGGAGGCGAAGGCGGCUAUCUGGACGAUUACUGACGCUGAGGUGCGAAAGCGUGGGGAGCAAACAGGAUUAGAUACCCCCGUAGUCC